Molecule: long non-coding RNA, 3086 nt
Organism: Callithrix jacchus (white-tufted-ear marmoset)
Lineage: Eukaryota; Metazoa; Chordata; Mammalia; Primates; Cebidae
Source: Ensembl
CAAAAUUUAAAAUUGUUCCAAUUUUUCCAAUGUUGACUACAUUUUUGUUGUGAUUUUUAAGCUAUAAAAUUGUUUCCUAAAAAAAACUGGAUCAUGAAAAUUAUAGCAUGGUGCUUUUGUUCUGUUGAUGUCUUAAGCACAUACUCUAUCUGUCCCCAGGGUAGUUCAACAAAGGCCCUCUGGGAGCAGUUUCUUACUCUUCAUCCCAUUUGAGAUACAUCCUCACCUUCUCUCUCAUCCCUUUUACAUUUGGAAAAGAACCUGGAAAAUUGAUCAUUUGACACCUUGGAGAUUUUACCUGGAGGAAAAUAAUUUCUUGAAGCCUCUUGUGCCUGUGAGAGCCAAAUGCUAUUUUGCAGCUGUAAUGUUGAUAAUGUAUACACAUUCUCCCCAGAGCAAUGGAUUCUUUAACCUUAAUAUUGAGACUGGAAUGAGAUUCUGUCCUCUAGAGGUCACCAAUGCACCAGAUUUGAAGGCCAUGGAGGCUUCCAAAAUGCUCAGGAAGCAUCAUGUGUCCUGUUCACGUUUGAAUGAGAGAGAAAAUAAGGCAAGUAAAUUAUCCUAAUGGUUACUUUCCAGCUAGUCUCUGAAGAAGUGGGAAAUCUGGUUUUAAAUAAGGCGUUUUAAAAUGGAUUUAUCUUGGCUUUUCUCUGCACUGAUCUAGCUGGAGGAAACUUCCAUAUGGUUAAUACUUCUUAACAGAUAGCUUACUUUUGAUGGUGAGAGAAGAAACUUUUCUAAAUAGGAGAAAAACUGAUGUAGAAACAGGUGAUUUUAGCCUCCAUUAAAUGAGUGUUACUUUCGCUGGUGCUCUGACCAGGGCAGAAGAUCUGUCUGAGCCUCCUCAGCACGCCGUCUUCAAAGGGCAUGGGGACACGGAGGCAGGGAAACAUGGCCCUGUAAUUCACUGUUAUAUGAUUUUUGAGUUGCUUUAUGAGGAGAGACGCCAUCCAAAGUACUUAUAUCUCUACAGACAAAUCAGAAACUGCACAUAAAGGGAUCACCUCGAUAGUCACAAUAUGCCUUUACUUUGGGAGAAUAAUCAGUCAAGAUCCAAGAAAUUGGCAGUCUCCUUCUGGGACUAGUGGGACCUAAAAGAAAGUCUUAAUUGGACUUUGCUUUAGUUACCCUGAUGCGUUAAUCUUGUGUGAAGCUAGUUAUCUCCCUUUUUUUUUUUUUAAUUUUCACAAUCAUCUUUUAUUAUUUCCUUUUAAAAAUCCUUCUUAGAAAAAUGUAUCUUCUUAUACUCAUAUAUGAAACCUUUCCUUAAGUUUCCUUUCAUAUGGUAUUAGCACACUUUGAAGCAAUUUCUUCUAGAGUAAGAAAUUUCUUAUUGUUAAUGUAAUAUGUCUCCCUUAAAGAGAACUAGCUAGGAGAACAGUGCUCCAUGUGGGCAGCUGGACUGAGCAAGGGGAGUAAACUCUGCGCUGCCCAGGGUUCGGGAGGUGCUAUGGCCUAGCCUGCUGCCCGUGGCCUGCACUGUUCAAGGUGUGACCUGAGAGUCACCACCAGCGGUUCCCAGCAUUGUUCCUGCUACUCUGGUUGCUCUCCAAGGAGAGGAAUUCCUACACUAUGACUUUCCCAGGGUCCAGUCACUUGCCAGCACCUGACCCAUCAGGAAAUCGCCUCUCCCGUCUUCCUUCCCCCAUUCCUUCCUGAGCAUUCCCCAGUCCAGGGUGUGGGCAACCCUCAAAAGAUCUGCUGGGAUUGAUUGACAAGAAAACAAAACUUUUCUCUAGAUAAGAAAGAUUGCAGUGCUAUAGGAAAUCUAUUUGCUUCUGGGUGGCGCUUGUCUGCCCUCUCUCUCAUUCUAACACUUUUAACUGCUGACUGUGUAGUUUCUUAUCAUUUCUUCAGGAUGUGUGGGGCAGUCAAUCUUCAAUCAAUGAGCUUUGUUUGGGUAACUCAUUUUAUGGCCAAUUCACAAGGAAGCAAAACACUUUGUCCUAUAGAGUUAGUGGUGUCCUUUCUCAGGGUUAUUAGACAUUUUCUUUAGCACUAAGAAAGAACAGAGGCAAAUUUUCAUUUCUGAGCUGUUUCCUUUAGCUGAGAGGCGCUCUAAAAGCUGCUGGUACUACAGAGAUGUGAGUUCAGCAAAGGAUGGUACUCGUCAUCUAUUCUGGAGAAUCCUGUAAUGAGGAUAAUAUGUUAGGUGGGUGGCAGUGUGUUGUGCAAUGUGCUUAGCUAGGUUGAGAAUCGUGUCCCUGACUUCUUGUCAAUGUGGGGCUGACAGAAAGCUUUCUGGGGACUCUGUGGUUUGAUCUUGGUUACCAGUUGUGUGACUGUAAGUAAGGCUCUCUUAUGCCUCAUUUCUCUUAUCUGUAAAAUAAAAGGGUUGGACAUCAUUUUCUCUAAGGUCCAUUUUGAAGCCAGCACCCACUCUGAGAAAUUAAGGAUGCUCAGUCCAGGGCAGCUGCACUGUAGCAAGUGUAUUGGCCUCUUAAGGCUGCCAUAACAGUGUACCCAAACCUGAAUGGCUUACAGGUAAUUCAUUUUCUUACAGUUCUAGAGGCUGGAAGUCUGAAAUCAAGGUGCAAGCAGGGUGCAGGUGUCUCCAGUAGCUCUAGGGAGAAUCCUUCGUGGCUUCUGCCUCUUGGUGUUUGCUGGCGAUUCUGGCAUCCCUUGGCCAGCAGAUGCAUCCCUCCAGUCCUAUCUUCUUCUCCCUGUGUGACUUCACAUGGUCUUCCCUCUGUGCAUGUCUGUCUCUGUGUCAAAAUUUCUACUUUUUAUAAAAACGCAGUCACAUUGGAUAUAAAAACACAGUUACAUUGGAUAGGACCCACCAUAGUGACCUCACUUUAACAUGAUUAAUUCUGUAAAAACUAUUUCCAAAUAAGGUCACAUCUUGAGGUACUGGGGAGUGAGACUUCAGUAUAUCUUUUUGCGGGGAUUUAGUUUAAACCAUAACAGUAAGCACAUAGCAAAUCCCUCUGUGCUGGAUGUGACCUCUUUGACCUCUAGGUACGUUGUCCAUGUUAUUCUGUGCCCUGGCCUCUAGACAUUAUGCCAAGAGAUCCCCUUGUCCUCCAGUUUUCAGCUGGGUUUAGCAAUGACAGGCAAUAUGGUGGAAGAGGAGAGCUGGGUGG